CUAAAGCAAUACAAUCUAAGUUCUUAAAAUUAAGUGUUACAACCACCUAUAUGUGAAAACUGUGUACGAGAGAACAAAUUUGGCCAAUUAUUGAUGAGAGUUAGUGGAACCUGUUAGUCUAAAUAAUAAAACGUUUUGUCUUCAACAACUGCUCAAGGUAGGAUCAGGACAUACAAUUUCCUUAUGACAUUAAAGACUAAAUUUAAAUAAAUUUGGCCACUUAAGAGCUUGAAAUUAGUAAUUGCCAUAACCUGUAUGUGAAAAUUGUUCCAAGUGUCAAACACUAAAUAUAAAUUGUUAAAAUGUGUCCCCUUUGUUCAAUAGAAGGUUCCAUUUUGUCAAGAAAAAUACAUAAAUUAUAAGUUCUUGUUUGUUAUGCUUAAAAGGUGCUAAGUAGGAGCCAAUUAUUGGGUAGACUCAAAAUUUGUUUCUUUUGAACCAAAGAAGCACUUAUAUAAGAACCCCAAACAUGUAGUAGAACAGAACAUAGAUACAAAACAGAAUUUCAAACAUGGAGUACUAUUGACUGAACUUAUUGUAACCCAAUAAGAUGAAGGCAAACUUAUUGAAGCAGAUCUAGAAAGAAAGACAGCAGCAGCUAAUUCUCCAAUUGUGCGUCAAAUUAUCCCCAUAAACAAGUUUUCAGGAUUUCUUGAAGGAAAAGCAGAUCUAGAAAGAGAAUUUUCAGAUGUAGAAACAAACAAAAAAAGUAAAGAAAAUGAACGCUCUUGGAACCACGAAGGCAAAAAGGAAGGAAAGGUUACAAAGGUGAAAGAGGUAGUAAAUAUUUGCAAAUGUUCAACAUCCUAGAAAAAAUAAAAUAUAUUCUAAUGACACGUAAAUAUUGCUUCAAUUAGCUCAGUGAAGCUAGACAUUUCCUAAAAAAUGAAAACAAAAAAAGAUAAAUGUUCAAACAAAAUGCAUAAUCAGUAAGGAAUCAAUAUCUGUUUUUAUUGUCAAAUAGAUGUGCUUCUACCAUAGGGUCCCAACUGAGGCUUGAGGCAGUGCACAAAAGCAGAGACAACAAAUAAGCCUCCAAAUGACAAUAUGAACAACCUCAAAGGAAACACCUCGAGGAGCACAUCAAUAUCUGAUUUGGAUAAGUUACAUCAUCCCAGAUCAAGCAAGCAAGCAAAUGAAGGAGAAAAAUAGUUAGAGCUCUAGGCAAUCAU
This 1172-nucleotide long non-coding RNA is filed under the name Olea europaea subsp. europaea. Lineage: Eukaryota; Viridiplantae; Streptophyta; Magnoliopsida; Lamiales; Oleaceae. The record is from RNAcentral.